GAUGAACGCUGGCGGCGUGCCUAAUACAUGCAGGUCGAGCGAACAGACGAGGAGCUUGCUCCUCUGACGUUAGCGGCGGACGGGUGAGUAACACGUGGAUAACCUACCUAUAAGACUGGGAUAACUUCGGGAAACCGGAGCUAAUACCGGAUAAUAUAUUGAACCGCAUGGUUCAAUAGUGAAAGACGGUUUUGCUGUCACUUAUAGAUGGAUCCGCGCCGCAUUAGCUAGUUGGUAAGGUAACGGCUUACCAAGGCAACGAUGCGUAGCCGACCUGAGAGGGUGAUCGGCCACACUGGAACUGAGACACGGUCCAGACUCCUACGGGAGGCAGCAGUAGGGAAUCUUCCGCAAAGGGCGAAAGCCUGACGGAGCAACGCCGCGUGAGUGAUGAAGGUCUUCGGAUCGUAAAACUCUGUUAUUAGGGAAGAACAAAUGUGUAAGUAACUAUGCACGUCUUGACGGUACCUAAUCAGAAAGCCACGGCUAACUACGUG
This 497-nucleotide ribosomal RNA is filed under the name uncultured bacterium. RNAcentral's name for it is "partial 16S ribosomal RNA". It matches the Rfam family "Bacterial small subunit ribosomal RNA", at positions 28 to 507 of the family's 1533-position model. The record is from RNAcentral.